This is a long non-coding RNA of Ictalurus punctatus (channel catfish), 551 nucleotides long. The record is from Ensembl. NCBI's taxonomy places the organism in Eukaryota, Metazoa, Chordata, Actinopteri, Siluriformes, Ictaluridae.
AGGACGAGAGGUUGCGCACCACGCCUAAGGACACACAAACACACACAAACACACACAAACACACACAAACACACACAAACACACACACACAAACAGAAAUUAGAGGGAGAGGACUCACUGGAAACCGGCCCACAAGACAACUGUAAUUUACAAUACAGAUUCUAAAUUCAUUUGGUGGGCCAGAUUAUUGGGUUGGUCCUGGCAUCAGGUUAUAUGUUUUACACCACUGACAUAGAGUUUGGUCUGUAUUUGGAAUCGGAGAGAUACUAAAGAACAUGGUCAUAGUACUAUACUACCCAUAGAUUGGGACAUCUACAGACAAGUGUAUACACAAUAUGUAGUGUAUACACAAUAUGUCACCAUCUAACGCAGCCAUUAAUGAAAGAAGACCACUGUGUGUGAGUCACAGAAGGAUUGCUAGGAUUUUGAAAUAUUCUCAACACUGUAGUAUAUACAUGUUUAAUAAUGUGCCCAGUACUUGUACACUUUGUAUAAAGCGUGCCAAUGUGGUAGGUGUACCUGAUAAAUGGACAAUUAAAGUAUAAGCAAGC